Long non-coding RNA from Xiphophorus maculatus (southern platyfish), 665 nucleotides. RefSeq lists it as uncharacterized. The transcript is spliced from 3 exons. NCBI's taxonomy places the organism in Eukaryota, Metazoa, Chordata, Actinopteri, Cyprinodontiformes, Poeciliidae. The record is from RefSeq and is a predicted model, not a curated record.
ACUUUCAUUUCCUCUACAUAAUUCUGUAAAACACGUUGCACUCGUGGUGAUGAAGCUUCAUGGAAGUUCUUCUUUGUUACUCAUGAGACACACCCUGCUGUAAAGGCGCAGCGUCCUUGAAUAGACCAAAUCGUAGCCAGACCCUUAGCAGGACCAGAAGGAUCCGUUUCGUUUUGACUGGAUUCAGACCUCAGCAUGUCGCUUUUGCUCCUGCUUAUCGGCUGUUUGGUCUCAGGCGCCGCACAGGCAGGUGAGCAACACCUGUGUACGUCAUUGGAAAUGUGAUGUUACAUAGCAGUUCACCAAACUGAAGUGGAUGUCUAUGUCUUCUGAGUGUCCUUUUCUCCAACCCUGGCUGUGACAGAUGCUCCUACUGGGUCAGCACCGGUCCUUCCUUCUGCGAACUCGGCAGACAGUGUGCUAGUAUUCUUCCAGGCGACUAUCGAAUCCCACCAUGAGCUGAAUAAAACCAUGCUCGAGCAAGUCGUAAAGAUGGUUCAGGGACUCCUGCAGGGACUUCAACCACAUGCUGAUCUCCAUCUGACGCUGAAGAACGUCACCAAAGUCUGAAACUGCUCCUUUAGCUGAGCUCGCUCGUUUUCAUAUGGGCAUUAACCAAAAAAAAAAAAAAAAAAAGUAAAAAUAAGAAUCAUUCUAUCUAAUGC